UACGUAGGGCGCAAGUGUUAUCCGGAAUUAUUGGGCGUAAAGAGCUCGUAGGCGGUUUGUCGCGUCUGCCGUGAAAGUCCGGGGCUCAACUCCGGAUCUGCGGUGGGUACGGGCAGACUAGAGUGCAGUAGGGGAGACUGGAAUUCCUGGUGUAGCGGUGAAAUGCGCAGAUAUCAGGAGGAACACCGAUGGCGAAGGCAGGUCUCUGGGCUGUAACUGACGCUGAGGAGCGAAAGCAUGGGGAGCGAACAGG
Molecule: ribosomal RNA, 253 nt
Filed under: uncultured bacterium
Lineage: Bacteria
Description: partial 16S ribosomal RNA
Rfam family: Bacterial small subunit ribosomal RNA
Source: RNAcentral